GACGGAGGAUGCAAGUGUUAUCCGGAAUCACUAGGCGUAAAGCGUCUGUAGGUGGUCAAAUAAGUCAACUGUUAAAUCUUGAGGCUCAACCUCAAAAUCGCAGUCGAAACUAUUAGACUAGAGUAUGGUAGGGGUAAAGGGAAUUUCCAGUGGAGCGGUGAAAUGCGUAGAGAUUGGAAAGAACACCGAUGGCGAAGGCACUUUACUGGGCUAUUACUAACACUGAGAGGCGAAAGCUAGGGUAGCAAAUGGG
This 253-nucleotide ribosomal RNA is filed under the name uncultured bacterium. RNAcentral describes it as "partial 16S ribosomal RNA". It matches the Rfam family "Bacterial small subunit ribosomal RNA", at positions 524 to 776 of the family's 1533-position model. The record is from RNAcentral.